CAGGCGCGAAACCUUUACAAUGCACGCAAGUGUGAUAAGGGAAUCCUCAGUGCUCAUGCAUUGCAUGGGCUUUUGCCAAGCGUAAAUAGCUUGGCGAAUAAGUGGUGGGUAAGACUGGUGCCAGCCGCCGCGGUAACACCAGCGCCACGAGUGGCAACCACGUUUAUUGGGCCUAAAGCGUCCGUAGCCGGUUUGGUAAAUCUCUUGUGAAAUCGUCAGGCUUAACUUGACGGCGUGCAMGAGACACUGCCUAACUUGAGACCGGGAGGAGUCAGAGGUAUUCCUGGGGGAGCGGUAAAAUGUGAUAAUCCCUGGAGGAUCACCUAUGGCGAAGGCAUCUGACCAGAACGGAUCUGACGGUGAGGGACGAAGGCUAGGGGAGCGAUCCGGAUUAGAUACCCGAGUAGUCCUAGCAGUAAACGCUGCGAGCAAGAUGUUGCGCUUCUUACGAGGAUGCGCAGUGUCGAAGAGAAGUCGUUAAGCUCGCCGCCUGGGAAGUACGGUCGCAAGACUGAAACUUUAAGGAAUUGGCGG
RNAcentral lists this ribosomal RNA (534 nucleotides) under uncultured archaeon. RNAcentral's name for it is "bacterial SSU rRNA". It matches the Rfam family "Archaeal small subunit ribosomal RNA", at positions 336 to 871 of the family's 1478-position model. The record is from RNAcentral.